Molecule: small RNA, 694 nt
Filed under: Pan troglodytes (chimpanzee)
Lineage: Eukaryota; Metazoa; Chordata; Mammalia; Primates; Hominidae
Description: processed transcript
Source: RNAcentral
GGAUCAUCUUCCGGGAGCGUGGCUAGGGGCGGAGCGACUGCCGCGCGAUAGUCAGGGAGCUGUGCGGGUCCUGGUUGCAAGAGAGGAAGGAUUAAAGGAAUGGAAGGCAUCAUAAACAUGAAGAAAAAUGUGAGAGAGUAUGAUAAUUGAAAGAAGAGUUUGUGUUCAAAGGGAGAGAUUAAAGAUGUGCAACUUCAGACCUUGGCCAAAGUGAAACAUUUCACCAAGAUUCAGGCUGUGAGAAACAUCUUGCCUACCCACCUGACCACAAGGCAGACAAAGGCCCAACGGAAGAAACAUUCUUAUCAUACCCUACCCGGCAAAGGCUCAACUAAAGAAACAUCCCUAUCAUAUUCUGUUGGGAGAAAGUACAAAGAAACACCACGUUCUGGAGGAAUAAGAGCCAGAACUGCCUCAUCAUGGGAACAUCUUAUGAAUAUCCUGCCGGGCAGCCAGCUAUAUGGCCCAGAUCUCUGCCGCUCAGACCCAUUAAGUACCCCAGCCUGUAAGCGGCGGUGAGCUCUGUCUGGCCAUAAGUUAGUUGGCCCCCAACUUCCGCAGGUGUCUGCAAUAUACCUGUGUUGCUGUUUGAGCUGCCCCCUCUCUGUGUCUUUCUUUAACCCUCGUCUUCCCUUCAAAACCUAACAGUAAGCACUCAAUUCUUACUUGUUGAAUAAAUGAAUGAUAGACAAUG